GGAGGGGUAGCGAAGCCCGGUCAAACGCGCAGGACUCAAGAUCAAUGCGCAUGCAUGACGACAUCAGUUACUCCCGCAACACCUACACGAGCGCGGGAUGAGUGAUCCCGUCCCUCAGGGGUUCGUGGGUUCGAAUCCCACCCCCUCCA
Molecule: transfer RNA, 149 nt
Filed under: Nitrososphaera viennensis EN76
Lineage: Archaea; Thermoproteati; Nitrososphaerota; Nitrososphaeria; Nitrososphaerales; Nitrososphaeraceae
Rfam family: tRNA
About the family: Transfer RNA (tRNA) molecules are approximately 80 nucleotides in length.
Source: Rfam by way of RNAcentral